This 677-nucleotide ribosomal RNA is filed under the name uncultured marine group I thaumarchaeote. Its description in RNAcentral is "bacterial SSU rRNA". It matches the Rfam family "Archaeal small subunit ribosomal RNA", at positions 321 to 999 of the family's 1478-position model. The record is from RNAcentral. Lineage: Archaea; Thermoproteati; Nitrososphaerota.
CCCUAUGGGGUGCAGCAGGCGAGAAAACUUUGCAAUGUGCGAAAGCACGACAAGGUUAAUCCGAGUGUUUCCUGCUAAAGGAAUCUUUUGUUAGUUGUAAAACCACUAUCGAAUAAGGGGUGGGCAAGUUCUGGUGUCAGCCGCCGCGGUAAAACCAGCACCUCAAGUGGUCAGGACGAUUAUUGGGCCUAAAGCAUCCGUAGCCGGCUUUGUAAGUUUCCGGUUAAAUCUAUAUGCUCAACAUAUAGGCUGCCGGAAAAACUGCAUAGCUAGGGAGUGGGAGAGGUAGACGGUACUCGGUAGGAAGGGGUAAAAUCCUUUGAUCUAUUGAUGACCGCCUGUGGCGAAGGCGGUCUACCAGAACACGUCCGACGGUGAGGGAUGAAAGCUGGGGGAGCAAACCGGAUUAGAUACCCGGGUAGUCCCAGCUGUAAACGAUGCAGACUCGGUGAUGCAUUGGCUUGUGGCCAGUGCAGUGCCGCAGGGAAGCCGUUAAGUCUGCCGCCUGGGAAGUACGUACGCAAGUAUGAAACUUAAAGGAAUUGGCGGGGGAGCACCACAAGGGGUGAAGCCUGCGGUUCAAUUGGAGUCAACGCCAGAAAUCUUACCCGAGGAGACAGCAGAAUGAAGGUCAAGCUGAAGACUUUACCAGACAAGCUGAGAAGUAGUGCAUGGCC